CUUGUAGCUCAGUUGGUAAAGAAUCUGCCUGCAAGGCAGGAGAUCAGGGUUCGAUCCCUGGUUCAAGA
This 68-nucleotide transfer RNA is filed under the name Bos taurus (domestic cattle). It matches the Rfam family "tRNA". Rfam says of the family: Transfer RNA (tRNA) molecules are approximately 80 nucleotides in length. Their secondary structure includes four short double-helical elements and three loops (D, anti-codon, and T loops). RNAcentral also lists the same sequence under 5 other names. The record is from Rfam by way of RNAcentral. Lineage: Eukaryota; Metazoa; Chordata; Mammalia; Artiodactyla; Bovidae.